GAAUUUCACUAGUGAUUAGAGUUUGAUCCUGGCUCAGGAUGAACGCUGGGCGGUCUGCCUAACACAUGCAAGUCGAACGGGACCUUUCGGGGUCUAGUGGCGGACGGGUGAGUAACGCGUGAGAACCUGCCUUCGGGAUGGGGACAACGGCUGGAAACGACCGCUAAUUCCCAAUAAGCCGAGAGGUAAAAAGAGAAUCGCCUGAAGAGGGGCUCGCGUCUGAUUAGCUAGUUGGUGGGGUAAAGGCUUACCAAGGCAGCGAUCAGUAGCUGGUCUGAGAGGAUGAGCAGCCACACUGGGACUGAGACACGGCCCAGACUCCUACGGGAGGCAGCAGUGGGGAAUUUUCCGCAAUGGGCGCAAGCCUGACGGAGCAAGACCGCGUGAGGGAGGAAGGCCUUUGGGUUGUAAACCUCUUUUCUCAGGGAAGAAGACAGUGACGGUACCUGAGGAAUCAGCCUCGGCUAACUCCGUGCCAGCAGCCGCGGUAAUACGGAGGAGGCAAGCGUUAUCCGGAAUUAUUGGGCGUAAAGCGUCCGCAGGUGGUUGUUCAAGUCCGCUGUCAAAGACCGGGGCUUAACCCUGGAGAGGCAGUAGAAACUGAACAACUAGAGGUCGGUAGGGGUAGAGGGAAUUCCCAGUGUAGCGGUGAAAUGCGUAGAGAUUGGGAAGAACACCAGUGGCGAAAGCGCUCUACUGGGCCGACUCUGACACUCAGGGACGAAAGCUAGGGGAGCGAAAGGGAUUAGAUACCCCUGUAGUCCUAGCCGUAAACGAUGA
This 780-nucleotide ribosomal RNA is filed under the name uncultured Microcoleus sp. RNAcentral describes it as "bacterial SSU rRNA". It matches the Rfam family "Bacterial small subunit ribosomal RNA", at positions 1 to 812 of the family's 1533-position model. Lineage: Bacteria; Bacillati; Cyanobacteriota; Cyanophyceae; Oscillatoriales; Microcoleaceae. The record is from RNAcentral.